RNAcentral lists this microRNA precursor (67 nucleotides) under Bombyx mori (domestic silkworm). RNAcentral describes it as "mir-2774 microRNA precursor family". It matches the Rfam family "mir-2774 microRNA precursor family". Lineage: Eukaryota; Metazoa; Arthropoda; Insecta; Lepidoptera; Bombycidae. The record is from Rfam by way of RNAcentral.
ACAACAUUCUGACCCUCGGUCUACCGAGCAAUGUCAACCGCUCGGUGGAAGAUCUUCCCUUUGUGGU